CCAAACCUAUCAAGACAGAGGCAAGAACACGAUAGCCAUUCAUUAAAUAUCACCCAAGUCCGGCAGCGUGCCCCAAGACUACAGAGUAUUCCUCCACACAUUCCAUUUCCUCGUUUUCCAAACGCUCAACGGACCGCUAGUAACGCCAUGACAAUGCGUCCUAACCUCGACCUGCCUGUUUAACAGGAUGUGUUUCAGAUGCCAUUCAGCCCUUGUUGGCUGCUCUGGUGUGUUGUACGACUGUAUUUACUCCCGCAAAAAGAAAAAAAAAUACUAAAACUAAAAUCGAAUAAAGCAUAAAUAAAAGGUAGAAUUAUCCUGAAGAGAAACUGUCAUUGCCUUUUACGUCGAAGGCAACAAUGAGGACGAGCUAAAUCAGUGCCACAACGCCCCACAGCACCAGGAGAUCGGGUUCAAAAGCUUUUCCAGAAAAUAUGGGGGGAAACAGGAAACAGAAACAAAGAAAAGCAUGGACCGGAAAAUAAAGGAUUAACUGAUGUAAGGUACCCCGAAAUGAUAGCUGCGAUUUAAGGUUCCUUCUUGGUUGUUUGUUUUCGGAAAUGUUUUAUUUCAACAUAUGAACCCUUUUUCUUGUUGUCUAGACCAGCAGAGCACAGAGAGUUCCUAGGGAACUAACCAGUUAUUCAAAUAAGAAUAGCCUUACGAGCCGAAUGGACGGGACAUCAAGUUCUUGAGAAUGCUUGCAAGGAACUGUUGCUUUUACUCCGCGGGCCAGGAAGUCGUCGACCCACUCAGCAAAGCGUCAGGUACUUUUUUGCUUUGGUUCGUUAGAAUUUUUCUCCUGACCGUGAUGGCUGGUUCUCAUGCUGGCCCAUGUCGAUGAUCUUACCAACUCCCAGGGUCCUGGUACUCUUGUAGAAAAACU
Molecule: small RNA, 886 nt
Filed under: Histoplasma capsulatum var. duboisii H88
Lineage: Eukaryota; Fungi; Ascomycota; Eurotiomycetes; Onygenales; Ajellomycetaceae
Description: Histoplasma capsulatum H88 hypothetical RNA
Source: RNAcentral